Small nucleolar RNA from Heterocephalus glaber (naked mole-rat), 71 nucleotides. Ensembl annotates it as small nucleolar RNA, C/D box 102. Its record names the gene SNORD102. NCBI's taxonomy places the organism in Eukaryota, Metazoa, Chordata, Mammalia, Rodentia, Bathyergidae. The record is from Ensembl.
AGCUUAAUGAUGAUUGUCUUUGUGAUUGAUUGAAGCAAUGUGAAAAACACAUUUCACCGGCUCUGAAAGCU